UGGGGAAUUUUUGACAAUGGGGGAAACCCUGAUCCAGCCAUCCCGCGUGUGCGAUGAAGGCCUUCGGGUUGUAAAGCACUUUUGGCAGGAAAGAAACGUCAUGGGUUAAUACCCCGUGAAACUGACGGUACCUGCAGAAUAAGCACCGGCUAACUACGUGCCAGCAUCCGCGGUAAUACGUAGGGUGCAAGCGUUAAUCGGAAUUACUGGGCGUAAAGCGUGCGCAGGCGGUUCGGAAAGAAAGAUGUGAAAUCCCAGAGCUCAACUUUGGAACUGCAUUUUUAACUACCGGGCUAGAGUGUGUCAGAGGGAGGUGGAAUUCCGAGUGUAGCAGUGAAAUGCGUAGAUAUGCGGAGGAACACCGAUGGCGAAGGCAGCCUCCUGGGAUAACACUGACGCUCAUGCACGAAAGCGUGGGGAGCAAACAGG
RNAcentral lists this ribosomal RNA (429 nucleotides) under Acidobacteriota bacterium. Its description in RNAcentral is "Acidobacteria bacterium partial 16S ribosomal RNA". It matches the Rfam family "Bacterial small subunit ribosomal RNA", at positions 355 to 776 of the family's 1533-position model. Lineage: Bacteria; Pseudomonadati; Acidobacteriota. The record is from RNAcentral.